UAGUGUGGUUUCAUUUUAUUUUGCUUAGCCGUAAUUUCUAUAAUGAGUUGAUUAUGUGAUAAGACAUCAGCAAUAAUAUUUGUUAAGAAAAAAAGUGUGCCCAUGGUCAGUGGGCUCCUUUGCUGUUUGUUGAUUGAAAAUUUCCCUUCCAGGGCCUUCAUGGAAACUGCUCUGGUGUCACAGAAAUAUAUCCAAGGAUGGAGCUAACAAUGCUUGUUCCAUCUGUUUCCAUUUUGUCAUGAAAAUCAAAGGAGGUAGUGGAUGUGAAAUUUUACUGAUUACAUAUAUAGGAUCCAAAUAACAUGCAGUGACAAACCUCCUGCAUAUGGCUGAAUGCUAAGCCACCAGCUACUCCUGCCCUCACAUCUCACAACUUUGCUGCAAGAAAAAACAAAACAGAACAUCUUGGCUAAAACUGCCCACCUCCUUACCCCAAGCUUGAUGCCAGCUGAAGAGUCCCAGGAGACCAGUUGGCUUAGCCCGGGUCAGAGGCCCUGGAUGGGAGUGGAUGAUUGGUAGCCAUCAUUUGCACCUGAUGGUUAGAGUGUGAGAGAAGCAGUCUUCCUGAAGAAGAGAGGUGGUGUCCUCAGAAAAGAGGAAGGGUACAAGGUUGUGAAAGCAAUAAAUGCUCACGCAAAAGAGGGUUGACCCAAGGUCUGGCCUUCUUCUUGCCACUCUCUAGUGAGGGAGCCCUUAGGAAAUUGAUUAUGCUCUCUGUCAAGCGGCAAAAAUAAAACCUGCCCCUGCCUUACGUGGUGAUGUGAGGAACAGAUUACAGAAUAGAUUUAAAGUGGCCUUUCAAAGUUUAAAGUGCGAUACCAAUGAAAGGUAAACUAAGUUAUUCUGGUUCUCUCCCUGCAUUUGGUCAGUUCCUGUAACGCAAACCAUUCUAGGUAGGUUAUAAUCUCAUGAAAGUUCGGAAGCAAGGAUUAAGGCCACUCUCUAGCUCUGUUUGGUUGAGAAACAGCACUAUUUCAGAGAUUUUUUAAAUAGAUAAAAUUGUAUUCAUCACCUGUUAAAUCAUGCAUGAGAUUUACUUGGGGUGAUCCCUGAAAUUUUUUCAAUUAGAAAAAUGUAAAUUACAAAAUACAUUAUUUAUAAUGCACACACGGUUGACUAUGUUUUAGAAUAUUACCUAAAGAAACCACAGAAGAAUAACAACACAAAUACAGAUUCUUUGAUACUAUACUAGUAUACAUGUUCUGCUUCUUCCUUUCAGGUCUAUUUGCAGAGUCUUCCAUUCUUGAGCAAUUUUCUCUGGGGUGACUCUCCGCUACUAUGAAACCUGUGUCUGUUUGACAAUACCUGUGCCCAUUGUGCAGAGUUCUUUGUGGCCCUAUCAUGGGGGACUUCCAUUCUGUACUUGGUUACUUCAGUGUGUCAGCUAGAUCCAGCUGCUCUGCGCUGGUUCAUGUGGGUACCACCUACAUGCAAUGCGUCUCCAUUUAUCUUACUGUCCAUCCAGGUCCAUUGUACCCUUCAAGACUGGUUGAAGCCCACUGCUGUAGGACAUCAGUUCCUCUGGCCCUGUUCCUUUGUGAAGCCUUUUUGUGUUUUGUGUGACUGUGUGAUCUGACUGCAUUCACAGGCACUUCUCACACAUAGCUUUGUGCAUCUUCUCAAAUUGCUACAUGUGUAUGUUUGUCCCUCCAAAGGAUUAAAACCUGAGUGAGUGCCAGCUUUCUCUGCAGGAGGAGUGGGUAGUGACCUUUGGUGCUUCCAGAAGAAAAGCAUGCAGGACAUCAUGGUAAAAGUGGGAUGCGCAGCAGAGACACCCUUGCAACUUCAUCCCGCUGCUCACUUCCCACCUGGGUCCCUGACCUCACUGGAAAUUGGGGUCCAGGGACUGGAAUCCAUUUGCUCUGGCCUUUGUCUCUCUGGGCUGGGUGUGGGGCCGUGAAAGGAUGAGCGCCUCCUGCCCAUGGUUGCAAUGGGAGAUCCAGAGGAUACAUGCUGAAAAUAAUAUCCUGGGGUGAGGGCCAAGGUCAUGGCCAGUGAGUGAGUCCAAACCAUCUCAUAAAUUAAUGCAACUCUUGGAAAACUGGGAGCUGAGUUAAUGGAGCCGAAAUGAGUGGUGUGGAGCCACAGGGAGAGCCACGAGUGUCCAGAGGGAGCCAGUGCCACCGGCCACGCGGCCCAAGACCUUCCAGGGCCUUCCCUUCAUGGUCUUGCAGGCAGCUGGGCCUGCUGGGGCCGGAAGGGAGCUGGGCCCCUCAGACACAGCCGAGGAAAACUUGACUGCUGGUGUGCCAGAUCCGUCCACAGGUCCCCAGGGAUUCCCCAAGUGAAUUCUGUCCUCUAAAGCUCGUCACAAACAGGUAGGAAAUUCUACUCUUUAAUUAUCCUAAUCCCAAACAAGUCAUGAUACUCACAUAGCCAAUUUCAGGUUUAAUCGUGUUACCUUUAUCCAAGUAGAAAUCAAUUCCCAUUUUUGUAUAGCUCUGCAGAACAUCCAGAGUGCUUCAGCGCAGAGCAAGGCCCCAGCAGUUAUGAGUGCUAUCAUCAUAUGGGAAAAAGAAGUUCAUCACUCUGUGUGUGUGUGGAGCGGGAAGGGAUGGGAGGCAAGUUUAUGACAGU
This 2577-nucleotide long non-coding RNA is filed under the name Homo sapiens (human). RNAcentral's name for it is "HSALNT0338309". Lineage: Eukaryota; Metazoa; Chordata; Mammalia; Primates; Hominidae. The record is from RNAcentral.